RNAcentral lists this ribosomal RNA (490 nucleotides) under uncultured bacterium. RNAcentral's name for it is "partial 16S ribosomal RNA". It matches the Rfam family "Bacterial small subunit ribosomal RNA", at positions 30 to 507 of the family's 1533-position model. The record is from RNAcentral.
AUUGAACGCUGGCGGCAGGCCUAACACAUGCAAGUCGAACGGUAACAGGAAACAGCUUGCUGUUUCGCUGACGAGUGGCGGACGGGUGAGUAAUGUCUGGGAAACUGCCUGAUGGAGGGGGAUAACUACUGGAAACGGUAGCUAAUACCGCAUAACGUCGCAAGACCAAAGAGGGGGACCUUCGGGCCUCUUGCCAUCGGAUGUGCCCAGAUGGGAUUAGCUAGUAGGUGGGGUAACGGCUCACCUAGGCGACGAUCCCUAGCUGGUCUGAGAGGAUGACCAGCCACACUGGAACUGAGACACGGUCCAGACUCCUACGGGAGGCAGCAGUGGGGAAUAUUGCGCAAUGGGCGCAAGCCUGAUGCAGCCAUGCCGCGUGUAUGAAGAAGGCCUUCGGGUUGUAAAGUACUUUCAGCGGGGAGGAAGGGAGUAAAGUUAAUACCUUUACUCAUUGACGUUACCCGCAGAAGAAGCACCGGCUAACUCCGUG